RNAcentral lists this ribosomal RNA (505 nucleotides) under uncultured bacterium. RNAcentral's name for it is "partial 16S ribosomal RNA". It matches the Rfam family "Bacterial small subunit ribosomal RNA", at positions 28 to 507 of the family's 1533-position model. The record is from RNAcentral.
GACGAACGCUGGCGGCGUGCCUAAUACAUGCAAGUAGAACGCACAGUUUAUACCGUAGCUUGCUACACCAUAGACUGUGAGUUGCGAACGAGUGAGUAACGCGUAGGUAACCUGCCUGGUAGCGGGGGAUAACUAUUGGAAACGAUAGCUAAUACCGCAUAAUAUUAAUUAUUGCAUGAUAAUUAAUUGAAAGGUGCAAUUGCACCACUACCAGAUGGACCUGCGUUGUAUUAGCUAGUAGGUGAGGUAACGGCUCACCUAGGCGACGAUACAUAGCCGACCUGAGAGGGUGAUCGGCCACACUGGGACGGAGACACGGCCCAGACUCCUACGGGAGGCAGCAGUAGGGAAUCUUCGGCAAUGGACGAAAGUCUGACCGAGCAACGCCGCGUGAGUGAAGAAGGUUUUCGGAUCGUAAAGCUCGGUUGUAAGAGAAGAAAGGGUGUGAGAGUGGAAAGUUCACACUGUGACGGUAUCUUACCAGAAAGGGACGGCUAACUACGUG